RNAcentral lists this ribosomal RNA (376 nucleotides) under Pseudoalteromonas sp. Asnod1C09. RNAcentral describes it as "bacterial SSU rRNA". It matches the Rfam family "Bacterial small subunit ribosomal RNA", at positions 433 to 800 of the family's 1533-position model. Lineage: Bacteria; Pseudomonadati; Pseudomonadota; Gammaproteobacteria; Alteromonadales; Pseudoalteromonadaceae. The record is from RNAcentral.
CUUUCAGUCAGGAGGAAAGGGUGUGAGUUAAUACCUCACAUCUGUGACGUUACUGACAGAAGAAGCACCGGCUAACUCCGUGCCAGCAGCCGCGGUAAUACGGAGGGUGCGAGCGUUAAUCGGAAUUACUGGGCGUAAAGCGUACGCAGGCGGUUUGUUAAGCGAGAUGUGAAAGCCCCGGGCUCAACCUGGGAACUGCAUUUCGAACUGGCAAACUAGAGUGUGAUAGAGGGUGGUAGAAUUUCAGGUGUAGCGGUGAAAUGCGUAGAGAUCUGAAGGAAUACCGAUGGCGAAGGCAGCCACCUGGGUCAACACUGACGCUCAUGUACGAAAGCGUGGGGAGCAAACAGGAUUAGAUACCCUGGUANNCCACUGC